RNAcentral lists this ribosomal RNA (426 nucleotides) under uncultured soil bacterium. RNAcentral's name for it is "bacterial SSU rRNA". It matches the Rfam family "Bacterial small subunit ribosomal RNA", at positions 26 to 430 of the family's 1533-position model. The record is from RNAcentral.
AGAACGAACGCUGGCGGCGUGCCUAACACAUGCAAGUCGAGCGCGAAUGGAGCAAUCCUAGUAGAGCGGCGCACGGGUGCGUAACACGUGGGUAAUCUGCCCAAAAGACUGGAAUAACCUGCCGAAAGGCUGGCUAAUACCAGAUAAGCCUACGGGGUCCUCGGACCUUGUAGGAAAAGGUGGCCUCUGUAUACAAGCUAUCACUUUUGGAUGAGCCCGCGGCCCAUCAGUUAGUUGGCGGGGUAACGCCCACCAAGACUACGACGGGUAGCUGGUCUGAGAGGACGAUCAGCCACACUGGAACUGAGACACGGUCCAGACUCCGUACGGGAGCAGACGAGGUGGGUAAUUUUUGGCGCAAGUGGGACGAAAGCCUGACGCAGCAACGCCGCGUGUGUGAGUAGUAAGGUUUUCGGAUACGUAAAG